Molecule: ribosomal RNA, 519 nt
Filed under: uncultured microorganism
Description: bacterial SSU rRNA
Rfam family: Bacterial small subunit ribosomal RNA
Source: RNAcentral
GAGUUUGAUCGUGGCUCAGGAUGAACGCUGGCGGCGUGCCUAAUACAUGCAAGUCGAACGCUUCACUUCGGUGAAGAGUGGCGAACGGGUGAGUAAUACAUAAGUAACCUGGCAUCUACAGGGGGAUAACUGAUGGAAACGUCAGCUAAGACCGCAUAGGUGUAGAGAUCGCAUGAACUCUAUAUGAAAAGUGCUACGGGACUGGUAGAUGAUGGACUUAUGGUGCAUUAGCUGGUUGGUGGGGUAACGGCCUACCAAGGCGACGAUGCGUAGCCGACCUGAGAGGGUGACCGGCCACACUGGGACUGAGACACGGCCCAGACUCCUACGGGAGGCAGCAGUAGGGAAUUUUCGGCAAUGGGGGAAACCCUGACCGAGCAACGCCGCGUGAAGGAAGAAGUAAUUCGUUAUGUAAACUUCUGUCAUAGAGGAAGAACGGUGGAUAUAGGGAAUGAUAUCCAAGUGACGGUACUCUAUAAGAAAGCCACGGCUAACUACGUGCCAGCCGCCGCAGUAACG